UGACACACCUUUCCCAAGUCCUCAGGAAUGUUGUGUGGGAAACAAGAGAGGAAAGGUCGUACUGUCAUGCUGUGCAGUAUUUGAAUCUGUGACAAAUGAAGGAGAGAGGAAGCCUAACCUGCAAAUACAAGGAAUAGAAUAUGAGAACUAAUGUAACCGAGUGAACAAAGGGUUUGUAUGUGUGGGAGGGCAAGAAAAGAAGGAAGGAGCCUGCACAGUAAAUGGGCGUGGAAGUUUCACACUGAGUUUCACUCCUAGCUCUCAGUCCUUUCAUUUAACAACUUAUAUGGCACUGGGAUUUCACAGGAACAAGUCGGCAUUGGCGCUGUUGUCUGUCGGACUCCUACUACAAUGACAGCAGUGGUGUUUGGAUGACGACGUGUGGAAAUCUUCACUGAAACUUUCAUAUCUAAAGGAAGAAACUUCAUGCGGCAGCUGUCACCAUAAACUGGAAUUUUGUUUAGGAUACAAUACACCUGCCCACCAUCUCAUUAAGACUGUAAAUAACACACUGGACAAACAAAGAAGAAAUGUCUAAUUCACCUCAGACACAUGUAACGAUGGAUGAAGUGGUCCCACUGAAUACCAUUCCAGGGUCAGGUGACACACAAAAUAAUAACACUUGCAAUCAAGUAAUCAGCUGCACUGGACGUGGUGCUGCCUCCUGCUGCGGUGACAAGAACCACAGGAAACUAGCCAUCUGCAGCAUCAUCUGUGGGAUCUCCUGCAUUGGAAUCAAGGCUCUGAUCAAUUCAGUCAAGGCUGAGAAGACGACAGAUCCAGAGAUAGCUGCGAUGUUUUCACGACGGGCAAGAAAAUUUGGCAUCAUCUCCAUCGUGACAUGGGUUGCCAUUCUGGCUUUAAUUCCCAUACUAAUGGCACUAAUCUCAUAUCUUUUCACUCUGAAAGACUGAUCAACUUUGAUAAACCUCUACAGAAGAUAAACAGUGGAGUGGCUCUUCUCAUUUGGAUUUUUAUGGGGACAGACAGCAGACAGUACAACGCUGUUUAUCAAAUACUAAAAACCAUGAAGAUUGGUAGUUACACAAAACAGAAAAAGACUGCUUUAGUCUUUCUUGUGCUGAUAAAACAACUGCUUACCCAGUUUACACUUUUCUACUUGCUCUUAACCAUUUACAUUUUUUACACAAAGAACUUUUACAUGUUUUUUUUAUAUACACCAUGAUAUUUAUUUUAACAAUAUAUGAACAAAAUCUAAAUGACCAUAUAAAAUCCAGCAUUAACUAUAGUUUGAGACGUGACACAUAUACAUUAUAUAUUAAAGAUUACAAUUGUCAUUCCCCAGUAAGGACCCAAUCCUUAUUUUUGCACCUUAAGUUCCAUUACAAUUUAACAUACUCAUUCUUAGAUACUGUAUAAAUUUGCAGAUAACACAAAAGUUAAUGAAUUACUCAAUCUGACAAGUAGUAACAUAAACUUGUUCAAGGAUUGGGUCUGUACUGGAAAUAAAAUGGCAUGGCAGUGCUUCUUCAGAACAUUAUGAUAUCCUGCUCUUGUUGCCAACAUUAUCUUGGCAUUAUUGCAUUGUUACCAUAUUAGCUUUAUUAAUGUCAAAUGUAUCAAUAAGUUGUGCUUGUCUACAAACAUAUAAACAGAUACAAUUUAAUAAUAAAAUGACAAAUGUG
Molecule: long non-coding RNA, 1646 nt
Organism: Siniperca chuatsi (mandarin fish)
Lineage: Eukaryota; Metazoa; Chordata; Actinopteri; Centrarchiformes; Sinipercidae
Exons: 3
Source: RefSeq, a predicted model, not a curated record